AGCGAACGCUGGCGGCAGGCCUAACACAUGCAAGUCGAACGAACCUUUCGGGGUUAGUGGCGGACGGGUGAGUAACACGUGGGAACGUGCCUUUAGGUUCGGACUAACUCAGGGAAACUUGUGUUAAUACCGAAUUUUCCCUUCGGGGGAAAGAUUUAUCGCCUUUAGAGCGGCCCGCGUCUGUUUAGCUAGUUGGUUGAGGUAAUGGCUCACCAAGGCGACGAUCAGUAGCUGGUCUGAGAGGAUGAUCAGCCACAUUGGGACUGAGACACGGCCCAAACUCCUACGGGAGGCAGCAGUGGGGAAUCUUGCGCAAUGGGCGAAAGCCUGACGCAGCCAUGCCGCGUGAAUGAUGAAGGUCUUAGGAUUGUAAAAUUCUUUCACCGGGGACGAUAAUGACGGUACCCGGAGAAGAAGCCCCGGCUAACUUCGUG
This 434-nucleotide ribosomal RNA is filed under the name uncultured bacterium. Its description in RNAcentral is "partial 16S ribosomal RNA". It matches the Rfam family "Bacterial small subunit ribosomal RNA", at positions 29 to 507 of the family's 1533-position model. The record is from RNAcentral.